GAUGAACGCUGGCGGCGUGCCUAAUACAUGCAAGUCGAGCGAACGGACGAGAAGCUUGCUUUUCUGAUGUUAGCGGCGGACGGGUGUGUCACACGUGGAUAACCUACCUAUAAGACUGGUAUCACUUCGGGAAACCGGAGCUAAUACCGGAUAAUAUUUUGAACCGCAUGGUUCAAAAGAGAAAGUCGGUCUUGCUGUCACUUAUAGAUGGAUCCGCGCUGCAUUAGCUAGUUGGUAAGUUAACGGCUUACCAAGGCAACGAUGCAUAGCCGACGUGCGAGGGUGAUCGCCCACACUGGAACUGAAACACGGUCCAUACUCCUACGGGAGGGAGCAGUAGGGAAUCUUCCGCAAUGGGCGAAAGCCUGACGGAGCGACGCCACGUGAGUGAUGAAGGUCUUCGGAUCGUAAAACUCUGUUAUUAGGGAAGAACAUAUGUGUAAGUAACUGUGCACAUCUUGACGGUACCUAAUCAGAAAGCCACGGCUAACUACGUG
RNAcentral lists this ribosomal RNA (497 nucleotides) under uncultured bacterium. RNAcentral's name for it is "partial 16S ribosomal RNA". It matches the Rfam family "Bacterial small subunit ribosomal RNA", at positions 28 to 507 of the family's 1533-position model. The record is from RNAcentral.